AUCCAGUUGACGAGUCCCAAUUAGGGCGAAAUGCGCAUCCUGGAU
RNAcentral lists this non-coding RNA (45 nucleotides) under Trichobilharzia regenti. Lineage: Eukaryota; Metazoa; Platyhelminthes; Trematoda; Strigeidida; Schistosomatidae. The record is from RNAcentral.